GACGGAGGGUGCAAGCGUUGUUCGGAAUUACUGGGCGUAAAGGGCGCGUAGGCGGUCCGCUAAGUUCGGCGUGAAAGCCCCUGGCUCAACUGGGGAACGGCACUGGAUACUGGCGGACUCGAGUACCGGAGAGGAGAGUGGAAUUCCUGGUGUAGCGGUGAAAUGCGUAGAUAUCAGGAGGAACACCGGUGGCGAAGGCGGCUCUCUGGACGGAUACUGACGCUGAGGCGCGAAAGCGUGGGGAUCAAAC
RNAcentral lists this ribosomal RNA (250 nucleotides) under uncultured bacterium. Its description in RNAcentral is "partial 16S ribosomal RNA". It matches the Rfam family "Bacterial small subunit ribosomal RNA", at positions 524 to 773 of the family's 1533-position model. The record is from RNAcentral.